RNAcentral lists this ribosomal RNA (348 nucleotides) under Clostridioides difficile. RNAcentral's name for it is "bacterial LSU rRNA". It matches the Rfam family "Bacterial large subunit ribosomal RNA", at positions 2101 to 2447 of the family's 2925-position model. The record is from RNAcentral. Lineage: Bacteria; Bacillati; Bacillota; Clostridia; Peptostreptococcales; Peptostreptococcaceae.
UUACUGUAGCUUGACAUUGGGUCUUGGUACUACAUGUACAGGAUAGGUGGGAGGCUUUGAAACCAGGACGCCAGUUUUGGCGGAGCCAUCCUUGGGAUACCACCCUUGUAGUACUGGGACUCUAACCCUAGGCCAUGAAUCUGGUCUUGGGACACUGUCAGGUGGGCAGUUUGACUGGGGCGGUCGCCUCCCAACAGGUAACGGAGGCGCUCAAAGGUUCUCUCAGUACGGUCGGAAAUCGUACGUAGAGUGUAAAGGCAAAAGAGAGCUUGAUUGCAAGACAUACAGGUCGAGCAAGGAUGAAAAUCGGACUUAGUGAUCCGGUGGUUCUGCGUGGAAGGGCCAUCG